This 76-nucleotide transfer RNA is filed under the name Salmonella enterica. Its description in RNAcentral is "tRNA-Thr". It matches the Rfam family "tRNA". From Rfam's summary of the family: Transfer RNA (tRNA) molecules are approximately 80 nucleotides in length. Lineage: Bacteria; Pseudomonadati; Pseudomonadota; Gammaproteobacteria; Enterobacterales; Enterobacteriaceae. RNAcentral also lists the same sequence under 2 other names. The record is from RNAcentral.
GCCGACUUAGCUCAGCAGGUAGAGCAACUGACUUGUAAUCAGUAGAUCACCAGUUCGACUCCGGUAGUCGGCACCA